GACGAACGCUGGCGGCGUGCUUAACACAUGCAAGUCGAACGAUGAAACCUAGCUUGCUAGGUCGAUUAGUGGCGAACGGGUGAGUAACACGUGACUAACCUGCCCCUUACUUUGGGAUAACGCUCCGAAAGGAGUGCUAAUACCGAAUACGAACUUAAGUGACAUCACUUGAGUUGGAAAGUUUUUCGGUAAGGGAUGGAGUCGCGGCCUAUCAGCUUGUUGGUGAGGUAACGGCUCACCAAGGCGACGA
This 250-nucleotide ribosomal RNA is filed under the name uncultured bacterium. RNAcentral describes it as "partial 16S ribosomal RNA". It matches the Rfam family "Bacterial small subunit ribosomal RNA", at positions 28 to 279 of the family's 1533-position model. The record is from RNAcentral.